RNAcentral lists this ribosomal RNA (255 nucleotides) under uncultured bacterium. RNAcentral describes it as "partial 16S ribosomal RNA". It matches the Rfam family "Bacterial small subunit ribosomal RNA", at positions 524 to 776 of the family's 1533-position model. The record is from RNAcentral.
UACGUAGGGUGCAAGCGUUUGUCCGGAAUUACUGGGCGUAAAGGGCUCGUAGGCGGCCAACUAAGUCAGACGUGAAAUCCCUCGGCUUAACCGGGGAACUGCAUCUGAUACUGGAUGGCUUGAGAUUGGGGAGAGGGAUGCGGAAUUCCAGGUGUAGCGGUGAAAUGCGCAGAUAUCGGGAGGAACACCAGUAGCGAAGGCGGCUCGCUGGGCCACACCUGACGCUGAGACGCGAAAGCGUGGGGAGCGAACAGG